RNAcentral lists this long non-coding RNA (236 nucleotides) under Volvox carteri. RNAcentral describes it as "long non-coding RNA (VCAR_LNC001886)". Lineage: Eukaryota; Viridiplantae; Chlorophyta; Chlorophyceae; Chlamydomonadales; Volvocaceae. The record is from RNAcentral.
GCGACCAUAAAAAGUUUACAGCCGCUACCUCGUCGUCCUGCAUCUAGCCCAUCCACUUCCAAAUCGUUUUUAUAUAUAGUUGUUUCGAGCUAACUACUUAUAAUGAUCAAAUAAAGCAAUGAGUUGUUUGUUUUCCAUUCGUACGAAAUAGUGGAGGAAUCGUUAAUACGGACAAUACGGACACUUUUAAUAAAGGACUCGUAAUAUCCCACUGUGUGGGGUUAUCCCACUUCUCC